GAUGAAGAACGCAGCGAAAUGCGAUAAGUAAUGUGAAUUGCAGAAUUCAGUGAAUCAUCGAAUCUUUGAACGCACAUUGCGCCCGCCAGUAUUCUGGCGGGCAUGCCUGUUCGAGCGUCAUUUCAACCAUCAAGCCCUGUGCUUGUGUUGGGGGCCUGCGGCUGCCGCAGCCCCCUAAAAGCAGUGGCGGGCUCGCUGUCAUUCCGAGCGCAGUAACUUAUCUCGCUUUGGUCGUGGCGGUGGGCACCUGCCGUAAAACACUCUUUUUCACAAGGUUGACCUCGGAUCAGGUAGGAAUACCCGCUGAACUUAAGCAUAUCAAUAAGCGGAGGA
This 333-nucleotide unclassified non-coding RNA is filed under the name soil metagenome. RNAcentral's name for it is "partial contains 5.8S ribosomal RNA, internal transcribed spacer 2, and large subunit ribosomal RNA". The stretch from base 1 to 120 matches the Rfam family "5.8S ribosomal RNA", at positions 35 to 154 of the family's 154-position model. The record is from RNAcentral.